Molecule: ribosomal RNA, 253 nt
Filed under: uncultured bacterium
Lineage: Bacteria
Description: partial 16S ribosomal RNA
Rfam family: Bacterial small subunit ribosomal RNA
Source: RNAcentral
UACAGAGGGUGCGAGCGUUAAUCGGAAUUACUGGGCGUAAAGCGUGUGUAGACGGUUAUUUAAGUCGGGUGUGAAAGCCCCGGGCUCAACCUGGGAAUUGCAUUCGAGACUGAAUAGCUAGGGUACGGUAGAGGGAAGCGGAAUUUCCGGUGUAGCGGUGAAAUGCGUAGAUAUCGGAAGGAACAUCAGUGGCGAAAGCGGCUUCCUGGACCAGUACCGACGUUCAGGCACGAAAGCGUGGGGAGCAAACAGG